UGGGGAAUUUUGCACAAUGGGGGAAACCCUGAUGCAGCGACGCCGCGUGAUUUAGAAGGCCUUCGGGUUGUAAAAAUCUUUUCUAUGGGAAGAAAAUGACAGUACCAUAGGAAUAAGGACCGGCUAAUUACGUGCCAGCAGCCGCGGUAAUACGUAAGGUCCGAGCGUUGUCCGGAAUCAUUGGGCGUAAAGGGUACGUAGGCGGGUAAGCAAGUUAGAAGUGAAAUCCUAUAGCUCAACUAUAGUAAGCUUUUAAAACUGCUCAUCUUGAGGUAUGAAAGGGAAAGUGGAAUUCCUAGUGUAGCAGUGAAAUGCGAAGAUAAUAGGAGGAAUACCGGUGGCGAAGGCGACUUUCUGGCCAUAUCCUGACGCUGAGGUACGAAAGCGUGGGUAGCAAACAGG
Molecule: ribosomal RNA, 402 nt
Filed under: bacterium
Lineage: Bacteria
Description: partial 16S ribosomal RNA
Rfam family: Bacterial small subunit ribosomal RNA
Source: RNAcentral